CCACUUAGGCUGCUGCGUGUCACACAAUGACACAGUUAUCUGUUACGUGUCAUGUAACAUGUUCGUUCCUCUUCAUAUAAAAGGAAAAAACCCUAGCUCGCCUUCCUCUUUUUUUCUUCUUCCCUGACCCUGCUGCAGCGCUGCUGAGUCUCCUACUCUCCUGAGUAAACUUCACAGAUUCACAGAAGUGACAGAAAAAUUAUUAGAUUCAUCUAAAGAUCAAAGACAGUCUUGAAGAGAAAUACAAGAGCGGAUUGAUUUUCUGGGCUCGUGAAGAUCGGAGGAAUACAACAACGAAUUGAUUUUCUGGGUUCGUGAAGAGUGAAUUGAUUUUCUGUUCGAUUAAUAAUAUAUUGGAGUUCUAGUGAAAUCUUUAAAUUUUGGUUUGAGCAGUUUGGAUAAGUGGUUGUCCCCUAAAUCUGAUGUCAAGUGUACAAGAGCAAGAGUUACCAGAACCAGACCAUUUCAAGGA
Papaver somniferum (opium poppy) is the source of this 472-nucleotide long non-coding RNA. RefSeq lists it as uncharacterized. NCBI's taxonomy places the organism in Eukaryota, Viridiplantae, Streptophyta, Magnoliopsida, Ranunculales, Papaveraceae. The record is from RefSeq and is a predicted model, not a curated record. The transcript is spliced from 4 exons.